This 1206-nucleotide long non-coding RNA is filed under the name Pogona vitticeps (central bearded dragon). RNAcentral's name for it is "lncRNA (ENSPVIG00000020183.1)". The record is from RNAcentral. Lineage: Eukaryota; Metazoa; Chordata; Lepidosauria; Squamata; Agamidae.
GUAAGACAUUCCUGAAAGACAACCCACCCUUCAUGCCUGUUGGUGUUGCAGCUUUACCUGGAAAAUGCCCCCCUUCGCCUCUCCCACUUAUUUCUAACUACAUGUAAGAUUAAUCCAUCAGAUUGUCUUCAAGCAGCUAGUACAGUUCUCAAGAACAUCAUGCUUCCAAUCCUGAAUGUAUUUACAAUAGGAAUAUCUUUCCCUGUGGCUGCAAAUCUGUGCCCUCUUUAAUUGGGAAUGAAUUAUGUUGAGCCUGAAGGCAAUUAUUUUAAAGUGAAACAUGUAGUCAGUGGGACUUACAUCUGAGUAGACGUGGAUGCUCUGGUAGCCUGGAUGCCUAAAUGCUGGUCUGAGCUCUAUGUAGAACUGGUUAAGGCUUGCUUUACUCCAUGGAUGGAGUAUGUGUGUUACCUGAAAAGUGGAGUGUCUGCCGCUGGUACAGAUUUUAGUCACUUUAACAUUGAAACUUCUGCCUCACUGAAUUCAGGGUUUAAUGUACUUGAAGCCGUUUCCAUUCUUACUUUAAAACAUGUGUUUUAUUUAUGUGUUUUAUGGGUUAUUGUGAAAGUAUCUUUUCCCAUCUUAUCAUGGAAUCUAAAAUUGAUUUCCGUUCCAGUUGCAUUUCCAAAUGAAUUGGAAAGUGUGUGUGUGUCUGUGUGUGCGCGUGUGCACACGUGCGCAUGUGUGUGCCCAUUUCCUGGGCUCGUAAGAAAGAGUUCCCACAGGGAGACAGCAGCAGCGUUAUGACUUUCCAACGUGAUUACUUGCAAUGUUGAAUUAGCCCUUUCCCUUUUUUUUCCAUUCCCUUUCACACGUUUCAUGAAAAAAAAUGCACUUAUUGAAACACUCCUGGAUGUAUGAUGAAUUGUUGGAGGGGGUGAAGUUGGCGAAAUAGCCUCCUGUGCCAUUCUGUUGUGCAAAAAAAAAAAAAAAAAUCCCAUCGACGAUGUAACUGGUGGCAGAAGCUCACCCUUGGUUCUCAAGAGAGGAUAAGAAGAAAUGGAUGAAGGCUUUCUUUAUGCAGAAGCCUAGGAGCACAGCUGGUCAAAAACUAGUGCUUUAUGCAUGUGUUGUUAUCACUAGGGUUUGUGCAGAAAUUGCAUGUGUGUAAUUGAGGUGAAUGAAGUCCAACACCAGUGCUUCUUAAAUUGCAUCCUUUUCUCCAGGUAUAACUUCAUUACAAAUGAAAGAAUACUGCCACCUUGC